RNAcentral lists this ribosomal RNA (253 nucleotides) under uncultured bacterium. RNAcentral describes it as "partial 16S ribosomal RNA". It matches the Rfam family "Bacterial small subunit ribosomal RNA", at positions 524 to 776 of the family's 1533-position model. The record is from RNAcentral.
UACGUAGGUGGCAAGCGUUGUCCGGAAUUAUUGGGCGUAAAGCGCGCGCAGGCGGUCCUUUAAGUCUGAUGUGAAAGCCCACGGCUCAACCGUGGAGGGUCAUUGGAAACUGGGGGACUUGAGUGCAGAAGAGGAGAGUGGAAUUCCACGUGUAGCGGUGAAAUGCGUAGAGAUGUGGAGGAACACCAGUGGCGAAGGCGGCCUGCUGGGCAGUAGCUGACACUGAGGCGCGACAGCGUGGGGAGCAAACAGG